UACGGGGGUGGCGAGCGUUACUCGGAUUUAUUGGGUGUAAAGGGCAGGUAGGCGGCUAUGUAAGUUGGUGGUGAAAUCCUAAGGCUCAACCUUAGAACUGCCUCCAAAACUGCAUGGCUUGAGGCUAGAAGAGGAGAACGGAAUUCCCGGUGUAAGGGUGAAAUCUGUAGAUAUCGGGAAGAACACCAGUGGCGAAGGCGGUUCUCUGGUCUAGCUCUGACGCUGAGCUGCGAAAGCUAGGGGAG
RNAcentral lists this ribosomal RNA (245 nucleotides) under uncultured bacterium. RNAcentral's name for it is "partial 16S ribosomal RNA". It matches the Rfam family "Bacterial small subunit ribosomal RNA", at positions 524 to 768 of the family's 1533-position model. The record is from RNAcentral.